CGUCUGAGUAUCAUACCCCAGGAUCCAACUUUAUUGGAAGGGACAAUUAGGGGAAAUCUUGAUCCCCUUGAAGAGCAUUCAGAUCAGGAAAUUUGGCAGGCUCUUGACAAGUCUCAGCUUGGGGAGGUAGUCCGUAUGAAAGAGCAAAAGCUAGAUACACCAGUGCUAGAAAAUGGAGAUAAUUGGAGUGUAGGACAACGGCAACUUGUUUCCCUGGGCAGGGCUUUGCUCAAGCAGGCAAGAAUACUGGUGCUAGAUGAAGCAACAGCAUCAGUUGA
RNAcentral lists this unclassified non-coding RNA (278 nucleotides) under Hevea brasiliensis (rubber tree). The record is from RNAcentral. Lineage: Eukaryota; Viridiplantae; Streptophyta; Magnoliopsida; Malpighiales; Euphorbiaceae.